Molecule: long non-coding RNA, 569 nt
Filed under: Serinus canaria (Common canary)
Lineage: Eukaryota; Metazoa; Chordata; Aves; Passeriformes; Fringillidae
Description: lncRNA (ENSSCAG00000008641.1)
Source: RNAcentral
CACAGUCCAUGCUUUGGUCUUCCCAUCCCUGCCUGGGCUCUCUUCUGCAGGCAGCUGCUGGGGGUCAGCAAACGUAUAAGACAGGUACACCCACUUCUGACUGAGAACACUUCCCAAAGACUCCCUCUGCUGCCCUUGGAGCUGCUUCAGCAGCCCUGGGAGCAGGGCCAUGCUGUGGGCUAUUCCUCCCUCUGUGCACAUGCCUCUGUGCACAUAUGUCUGACUGUGAGUGCUGCCAUGUUUGGAGCUGUGUGGUGGCUGCUGUCAGAACCCAGGAAUGCAGCCUCAGGAACAGAACCCUGCACAGGCAAACUUGGCAGAACCUGGGCAGUGUCUGGAGCAGCAGUCAGGAAUCUGGGACUGGGAUCUGACUGCACUUGCAUUCCCAGGAGGACAAAUCUGGGCCUCGAUUGCCAGGUUUGCAACUUUUAAAAAGCCUUUGCUUUAAUGAAUGUGUAGCCUAAGUGUCAUUGUUCUUUUCUCCAUUCUGGGCUUUUUUUCAGAAAACAAGAUCAGUUUAUGAAAUUUAAAUCUCUGCUAAAAUAGAAAUUUUAUCUAGAGAAGUCCCU